AUUGAACGCUGGCGGCAUGCCUAACACAUGCAAGUCGAACGGUAACAGGCCCUUCGGGGUGCUGACGAGUGGCGGAUGGGUGAGUAAUACUUAGGAAUCUACCCUGUAGUGGGGGACAACCAGUCGAAAGACUGGCUAAUACCGCAUACGCCCGAGAGGGGAAAGCGGGGGACUCGCAAGGGCCUCGCGCGAAUGGGUUGGCCGAUGUCCGAUUAGCUAGUUGGCGGGGUAAAGGCCCACCAAGGCGAUGAUCGGUAGCUGGUCUGAGAGGAUGAUCAGCCACACUGGGACUGAGACACGGCCCAGACUCCUACGGGAGGCAGCAGUGGGGAAUUUUGGACAAUGGGGGCAACCCUGAUCCAGCCAUUCCGCGUG
This 375-nucleotide ribosomal RNA is filed under the name uncultured bacterium. RNAcentral's name for it is "bacterial SSU rRNA". It matches the Rfam family "Bacterial small subunit ribosomal RNA", at positions 30 to 403 of the family's 1533-position model. The record is from RNAcentral.